CGGGCCGCGCGGCAGGUACGCGGCGGGGCCGCCCCGGGUCGGGCCGGGCCGGGCCGGGCAGCGCCCGCCCGCUGACAUGGCCGCGGGGCCGUGCCCGCUGCACGCACCUGCACGGACGGCCCCGUGAGGAGAGCAAGCCUCGCUCCUCGCGCAUUACAAAAGGAGGUCCCUCACCGCAGCGCUCGGCUCCGUCUCGUACAGCACGGGGGGCCGGGGAGCACCCGCAGGUAGGUCUGUCUGCUCUCCUCUCCUCUGCCCAUCUCCAUCUUAUCACCGCCGUGCUCAGCGCCUGCACCCCUGUGCUGACGUCUGGGUGCUUAGGCAUAAAUACUGAGAUGUGCUGAAUAGAGAGAAAAGCUCCAGAACCGAUCAAUUCCUUCCGCAGCUCGGGAGGGGAGCGUAGGGGACUAAGUCAGCCUGCUUCAUUUUAAUAGAGAUAAGGCUGCACCCGAGCGGUUCUGCAUUGGUAAGGUGUGCACAGACCGCUACAGUGUUUGGGGGGCUUGCUUCUUGAAGUAAAUGCUACUGAGCUGAAAGGGCAACAAGCGGGUACCCUGCACGUAUGCCUACAGAAGCAUCCCCGAGCCCAGCUCCAGCACCCACUGCUCGGAGCCAGCUCAGAGUUGCGUGGCUCUGUCGUAAGGAAAGCUCCCUCGUUAAACUGAUUUCAAGGAAACAGCCGUACCCAAAUUUAGAAACGCUGAUUACGCUACGCUGAACCCUCUCCCCCAUUUUGGAAAGGAUCAGUAAUGAAUUGGGGGUGCAGUGCUUUUUUUUCUCUCAAAAGCUAUUAUUUUUAUUUAGUAUUACAACUAAAACAUUGUACUUAUUUUCUAGUUCCAAAGUGUUUCUACUCCCUCCCCUAUCCCCCUCCACAGUGAAAAGAGAUGCAGGCUAUUUCUAGCAAGAAAAGAAACACAGUAGAAUGAUACAUAUUUUAAAAAAUUAACUGCUUACAAAAAUCUUUUAUGACUGGAGCUCUACACAAUGCAAAUUGCAAUCUUUUAGAUCAAAACAAACCAGUGUGCACCCUCAGAAUGCAUGAAUACCACUCACAAACAAGAUCGGAAAUGCCCUCUCUCAGCAUUUCACCAAAUACUGCAACAGAACCAAGUCCAAAAUACGUUAAUUUCAACAGACGUGUUUGUGGAGGUUCACAGCAGACAGAUUACAGCAUUCUGUGCUUAACGUUAAGGAAAGGCUGGGCCUGCUUCACACAAAUGUGGUAUAAAUACAUGCAAGUUUAGGAACCAGAACUCACACAGCAAAACUCCAGCUCUGACUACUGUAAAAAAAGCAGGUAGUAAAAGCUUAAUUACCAGUAGCAUUAUGCUGUCUAUAUUGUUAAAUGUGAACUCUAUAAUUAAGAUGUAAAUUCGCUUGUGAGCAGUGAAUUAAAGAGCUCUGAAAUGUAGAGUAAAAUCCAAGUCCUCUGUAGAAACAUCAGAGACCAAAAAAAAUUAGUUUUUAUCAAAUUUUAAAAUGAGGUAUUUAAUCAUGUUAUAGUAUUAGAACACCCUCUAAGUAACAAUUUGAUAAAUGUGGAUUUUUAAUCAAAUCGGAACUUAAAUAAGCUGUGUUUAUUCUAUGUAUUUAUUAGUAUAUAAACUCAAAAUGCAGUUCCUAUAAAUUGAUUGCCAUAUGCACAUUAGCAAACUGUGAAAAUACAAAUGUGUUGUUUGUAGUGAGUCUGAGAGUCCAUUUAUAAUAUAUAUAUAAAAUUGCUAUUUCUCAAUAUUUUAUACUAAAAUGCCUUCAAAUCAUUUCAUGUGUAUGUUUUCUUAUUUUCAAGUGACCUAUAACCGAUCCCUUAUACAUGAGUCAUUUGCUAAAGUCACUUCUGCAUAUUAAGUGCCCUGAAAUACACCCUCCUUAAUAUAUGACAGCUGAUCCAUUUUGAAAUUUACCAAAGCACAGGCCAGCUUAAUUUCUACUUUUGUGCAUUAUUUCCUGAGCUGAUAUAUUUAUAUGCAGGAGCUGGAACACGAUGGUCUCUUUCCUUCUGUCGUGGAAGCCCUGCUUUCCGCUUUCCCAUAAGUUGUGCUACCUUAUUGGCUUGUUCCCCCCAGCGCCCUACACCACCCAAAUACAUUUUAUCUCUCACCAUCACUACUUUUCCAUCUCCUAUCUCUCAUGCAAGCAAACAGUUCUCUUCCCUGCCAGUGAUGCUGCUUGGCUAACCAGAAACCCAGUGCUGUACUUUGCAUGUUGAUAAACAAAGCAGUUGGCUUCUUCCCCUGGGACUGAAAGUGCCACCUCCACCAGAGCAGGGCCUGGAAUUCCAACCACAUUCUUGAACUUGUGUUUCACAGUUACCCAUCAGUUUGGAGGGGGAGAAAAGAAAGAAAAAGAUUACUGCAGCAAAUAAAGUGGGGCUAAAUGUAGCUUCAUUUCCUCGAGCUUUUUAGUAGAAAUUAAUAAAAAUAGAUCUAGGGGAAAAAAGAUAAAAUUUAAGUGAAUCUUACCAGGCAAAUAAGAACAUGCAUGCAACUGCCCAUGUGCACCAACUUACCAAAACGGACAGUGCAAAAUCUUACCACAAGGAGUCUAUACAAAGCAGUAGUAACACAGAAGGGAAGGAAAAAAAUGACCCGAGCGUCUGUACCAAUCAAGGGUCAUUUCUGAGCAGCAUCUACAUUUCCAUCUCUCUGUUCAUAUAAUUUGUCCUGUGUACAGUCAGUCCAUCUUUAAGCAUCUUCACAUUUGACUACGAUAGACAUUUCAAAGCAUCCAAACAGCCAGAUUCCUACAACACAACUACAUUAAGGCAACUGAAGAAGUAAGAUUCAGUGGCACUUCACAGCAGCUGCGCAGUGCAUUGUGUCAAGUUCGUCUUUACCAAAAGGAGCAACAAGUUAGAGUCACCUGGGAAGGAGCAAAAAUUUGGAAAAAAAAUUCUACUAGCUGCUGAGAAUUUAUUUGAAAACAAGCAUACCGUUACCUAAGAUGGAAGUUUGCUGUAUAAUACGGUACCUUAUUCAAGGUAUAGCUGGAGAAUUAAAUUGUUAAGUUUGAAAUAAACAUUGAAUUAUCAUCAAA
Anas platyrhynchos (mallard) is the source of this 3039-nucleotide long non-coding RNA. RefSeq lists it as uncharacterized. NCBI's taxonomy places the organism in Eukaryota, Metazoa, Chordata, Aves, Anseriformes, Anatidae. The record is from RefSeq and is a predicted model, not a curated record.